This 476-nucleotide ribosomal RNA is filed under the name uncultured bacterium. RNAcentral's name for it is "bacterial SSU rRNA". It matches the Rfam family "Bacterial small subunit ribosomal RNA", at positions 43 to 512 of the family's 1533-position model. The record is from RNAcentral.
CAGGCCUAACACAUGCAAGUCGAGCGGGCGAGGUUGCUUCGGUAACUGAGCUAGCGGCGGACGGGUGAGUAAUGCUUAGGAAUCUGCCUAUUAGUGGGGGACAACAUUCCGAAAGGAAUGCUAAUACCGCAUACGCCCUACGGGGGAAAGCAGGGGAUCUUCGGACCUUGCGCUAAUAGAUGAGCCUAAGUCAGAUUAGCUAGUUGGUGGGGUAAAGGCCUACCAAGGCGACGAUCUGUAGCGGGUCUGAGAGGAUGAUCCGCCACACUGGGACUGAGACACGGCCCAGACUCCUACGGGAGGCAGCAGUGGGGAAUAUUGGACAAUGGGCGCAAGCCUGAUCCAGCCAUGCCGCGUGUGUGAAGAAGGCCUUUUGGUUGUAAAGCACUUUAAGCGAGGAGGAGGCUACUUGGAUUAAUACUUUAGGAUAGUGGACGUUACUCGCAGAAUAAAGCACCGGCUAACUCUGUGCCAGC